Molecule: transfer RNA, 85 nt
Organism: Felis catus (domestic cat)
Lineage: Eukaryota; Metazoa; Chordata; Mammalia; Carnivora; Felidae
Rfam family: tRNA
About the family: Transfer RNA (tRNA) molecules are approximately 80 nucleotides in length. Their secondary structure includes four short double-helical elements and three loops (D, anti-codon, and T loops).
Source: Rfam
ACCUGGGUGGCUCAGUCGGUUGAGCAUCCGACUUUGGCUCAGGUCGUGAUCUCAUAGUUUGUGGGUUCGAGCCCCGCAUCAGGCU